UGAGGAAUAUUGGUCAAUGGGCGAGAGCCUGAACCAGCCAAGUAGCGUGCAGGAUGACGGCCCUAUGGGUUGUAAACUGCUUUUAUGUGGGGAUAAAGUGCGUGACGUGUCAUGCAUUGCAGGUACCACAUGAAUAAGGACCGGCUAAUUCCGUGCCAGCAGCCGCGGUAAUACGGAAGGUCCGGGCGUUAUCCGGAUUUAUUGGGUUUAAAGGGAGCGUAGGCUGUCUAUUAAGCGUGUUGUGAAAUAUACCGGCUCAACCGGUGGCUGGCAGCGCGAACUGGUCGACUUGAGUAUGCAGGAAGUAGGCGGAAUUCAUGGUGUAGCGGUGAAAUGCUUAGAUAUCAUGACGAACUCCGAUUGCGCAGGAGGCUUACUGUAGCAUAACUGACGCUGAUGCUCGAAAGUGCGGGUAUCAAACAGG
This 424-nucleotide ribosomal RNA is filed under the name Fusobacteriota bacterium. RNAcentral describes it as "Fusobacteria bacterium partial 16S ribosomal RNA". It matches the Rfam family "Bacterial small subunit ribosomal RNA", at positions 355 to 776 of the family's 1533-position model. Lineage: Bacteria; Fusobacteriati; Fusobacteriota. The record is from RNAcentral.